AUGCAAGUCGAGGGGCAGCAUGAGUGUAGCAAUACAUUUGAUGGCGACCGGCAAACGGGUGCGGAACACGUACAGAACCUUCCUUUGAGCGGGGAAUAGCCCAGAGAAAUUUGGAUUAAUACCCCAUAGUAUAAUGAAGUGGCAUCACUUUAUUAUUAAAGAUUUAUCACUCGAAGAUGGCUGUGCGGCUGAUUAGGUAGUUGGCGGGGUAAAGGCCCACCAAGCCUGCGAUCAGUAACUGGUGUGAGAGCACGACCAGUCACACGGGCACUGAGACACGGGCCCGACUCCUACGGGAGGCAGCAGUAAGGAAUAUUGGUCAAUGGAGGCAACUCUGAACCAGCCAUGCCGCGUGGAGGAUGAAGGUCCUCUGGAUUGUAAACUUCUUUUAUAUGGGACGAAAAAAGGCUUUUCUAAGUCGUCUGACGGUACCAUAUGAAUAAGCACCGGCUAACUCCGUGCCAGCAGCCGCGGUAAUACGGAGGGUGCAAGCGUUAUCCGGAUUCACUGGGUUUAAAGGGUGCGUAGGUGGGUUGGUAAGUCAGUGGUGAAAUCCCCGAGCUUAACUUGGGAACUGCCAUUGAUACUAUCAGUCUUGAAUACCGUGGAGGUCGGCGGAAUAUGUCAUGUAGCGGUGAAAUGCUUAGAUAUGACAUAGAACACCAAUUGCGAAGGCAGCUGGCUACGCGGAUAUUGACACUGAGGCACGAAAGCGUGGGGAUCAAACAGGAUUAGAUACCCUGGUAGUCCACGCCCUAAACUAUGGAUACUCGACAUUUGCGAUAAACUGUAAGUGUCUGAGCGAAAGCAUUAAGUAUCCCACCUGGGAAGUACGAUCGCAAGAUUGAACUCAAAAGGGAAUUGGCGGGGGGUCCGCACAAGCGGUGGAGCAUGUGGUUUAAUUCGAUGGAUACGCGAGGAACCCUUACCCUGGGGC
This 937-nucleotide ribosomal RNA is filed under the name uncultured Sphingobacteriaceae bacterium. Its description in RNAcentral is "bacterial SSU rRNA". It matches the Rfam family "Bacterial small subunit ribosomal RNA", at positions 55 to 982 of the family's 1533-position model. The record is from RNAcentral. Lineage: Bacteria; Pseudomonadati; Bacteroidota; Sphingobacteriia; Sphingobacteriales; Sphingobacteriaceae.